CGGUAUCCUGACCGUGCAAAGGUAGCAUAAUCAUUUGCCUUUUAAUUAAAGGCUAGUAUGAAUGGAGAACUGAGGACUUCCCUGUCUCUUUUAUAUCCCUAUAAACUAACCUUCAGGUGAAGAGGCCUGAAUAAUAUUAAAAGACAAGAAGACCCUGUCGAGCUUAACUUUAUUACAUUAAAACUUUAUUUUUAUUUUAUAUACAAGUUUUGUUGGGGCGACAAAGGAGAAAAUAAAACCUCCUCGAUUACUAAAGACCCUUAGUCUCUCAUAAGAUCCAUUAUUUGAUCUUCUGAUUUAGCUACCGCAGGGAUAACAGACUUAUUUUCCUCAAGAGCCCAUAUCUACAGGAAAGUUUGGCACCUCGAUGUUGGCUUAGGGUAUCU
Molecule: ribosomal RNA, 386 nt
Filed under: Aponuphis ornata
Lineage: Eukaryota; Metazoa; Annelida; Polychaeta; Eunicida; Onuphidae
Description: partial 16S ribosomal RNA
Rfam family: Bacterial large subunit ribosomal RNA
Source: RNAcentral